ACACAUGCAAGUCGAACGAAGCACUUUAUUUGAUUUCCUUCGGGACUGAUUAUUUUGUGACUGAGUGGCGGACGGGUGAGUAACGCGUGGGUAACCUGCCUUGUACAGGGGGAUAACAGUUGGAAACGGCUGCUAAUACCGCAUAAGCGCACAGCACCGCAUGAUGCAGUGUGAAAAACUCCGGUGGUAUAAGAUGGACCCGCGUUGGAUUAGCUAGUUGGCGAGGUAACGGCCCACCAAGGCGACGAUCCAUAGCCGACCUGAGAGGGUGACCGGCCACAUUGGGACUGAGACACGGCCCAAACUCCUACGGGAGGCAGCAGUGGGGAAUAUUGCACAAUGGGCGAAAGCCUGAUGCAGCGACGCCGCGUGAGCGAAGAAGUAUUUCGGUAUGUAAAGCUCUAUCAGCAGGGAAGAUAAUGACGGUACCUGACUAAGAAGCACCGGCUAAAUACGUGCCAGCAGCCGCGGUAAUACGUAUGGUGCAAGCGUUAUCCGGAUUUACUGGGUGUAAAGGGAGCGCAGGCGGUGCGGCAAGUCUGAUGUGAAAGCCCGGGGCUCAACCCCGGUACUGCAUUGGAAACUGUCGUACUAGAGUGUCGGAGGGGUAAGCGGAAUUCCUAGUGUAGCGGUGAAAUGCGUAGAUAUUAGGAGGAACACCAGUGGCGAAGGCGGCUUACUGGACGAUAACUGACGCUGAGGCUCGAAAGCGUGGGG
This 717-nucleotide ribosomal RNA is filed under the name uncultured bacterium. RNAcentral describes it as "bacterial SSU rRNA". It matches the Rfam family "Bacterial small subunit ribosomal RNA", at positions 51 to 766 of the family's 1533-position model. The record is from RNAcentral.